CUCUGUACGGGAAGGAUGAGAAGCUUCGACUAAGGUUCGAUUCGAGCGUCAGCGAGAAAGCGUUGCCGCAGGCAACGACCCGAAGGGCGAAGCGCGCAGCGCUGAGUCAUCCUUCCCCCACCACCA
Molecule: small RNA, 126 nt
Filed under: Salmonella enterica
Lineage: Bacteria; Pseudomonadati; Pseudomonadota; Gammaproteobacteria; Enterobacterales; Enterobacteriaceae
Also listed under: 3 other names
Description: partial RtT sRNA
Rfam family: RtT RNA
About the family: This family represents a bacterial cis-regulatory element known as RtT RNA. The exact function of RtT is unknown although it is thought that it may be involved in changing the cellular response in relation to amino acid starvation.
Source: RNAcentral